RNAcentral lists this transfer RNA (77 nucleotides) under Escherichia coli. RNAcentral's name for it is "tRNA-His". It matches the Rfam family "tRNA". Rfam says of the family: Transfer RNA (tRNA) molecules are approximately 80 nucleotides in length. RNAcentral also lists the same sequence under 15 other names. Lineage: Bacteria; Pseudomonadati; Pseudomonadota; Gammaproteobacteria; Enterobacterales; Enterobacteriaceae. The record is from RNAcentral.
GUGACUGUAGCUCAGCCGGUUAGAGUUCCGGAUUGUGAUUCCGGAGGUCAUGGGUUCGAAUCCCAUCAGUCACCCCA